Molecule: long non-coding RNA, 2339 nt
Organism: Struthio camelus australis
Lineage: Eukaryota; Metazoa; Chordata; Aves; Struthioniformes; Struthionidae
Source: Ensembl
GGGGGUAGCACAGCACAUCUUAUUUUCUUUAUUUCUGGUCCAUUUAGGAAUGAUGAUUUUUCAAGUGGGAGAAGAUAAAGGGGAGAACGUCUCAGAAAUAAUCAUGCAGCUUUGAUUAUCUAACAACCUAUUGGGCACUGCAAAUCUUUAGAUCAGAGCUUCACAAAUUGUGAAACAUGCCAGUGGUGGCACACAGACCGUUGCCAAGUGGCAUGCUGUCCAAUAAAGAGCCAAGAGCUGCCGUUGCUACGGUGGCUUCCAAGAGUAACUUCAGCUAUUACAAAUCUUUUUCCUCAGGUUGGCCAGGUCUGCUGGAGCACAUUACCAGAGAUCUUUCUAUAGGUACUUACUGAGUCCUCCUUUAGUUCACACUGUAUGUGUGAUCCACUUCUGGAUCUUCUGGAUCUCAUAUAUCUGAGUACUGAUUUAGUUACAAGGCAAUUUCAAGGCUCUGGAAAUGCCUGAGCUCCGCACUGUAUCUGAACCAGAGAACAAUACAAAUGACUCCUGGUAUUUCCUAGAAAUGGCUGAUUUUUGGAGAAAUUUUCUUGCUCAGCUAACAACAAAGGAACAAAGACCCUUGGAGCACUGCUCAACAGUUCUUCAGGAAGAUGUAUGGAAUUAGGGUAUAAAAUUGCAGAGAAAAAUGUGGGAUUUUUUUUGUCUUUGUGCAUUUCUUGUGGGAAUGGAUGCUCAAGAACCAGAAUGACAAUAAGGAAAAAGGAAGUGUGUUCUACUAGCUACAACAACAACCUAUUUCAUAUCACUUCCCUUUUCAGCUGGUUCCAAACUCAUUUAGGAGGGGAGUAUCAAGACAAUAAAAUCCCUGAUGUUGGUACAUGGAGGAGCCUUAGAGCUUAGGAAGCCUUCGGUUACUGUCCUGGGCAAAAGCAAAGGGCAGUUACUGUCAGGUAAACAGGCUGGUUGUGGUAUCUGAUUGAGAAACUACUAGGAAAUCCAAAAAGUUCUCCUCAGAAGAUAUGUAGUUUCAGGAGCUAUAAGAGGUAUUUUAUUUGUGCAAGUGAGAUUUUUAAAGUUAACUCUGUCUGCUGCAGGGAAUCCUAAUUAAUAAUGUGCCAACAAAGCAGAUCAGUUGAGAUGAGGCUUUUGCAGCUCUGCAGCCUGGAGAAGGAGACUGCAGCUUGUCAUGGCUGGCGUCCCUUUACCCUGCCAUUCAGGAGAAAAAUAUGAAGAUUUCUUUUCUUCAAGUCUGAUCACCUAGGAGGUAGUGAGCAGGAGCUCUGCUCUUGUCUGAUUAUGUUCUCAGUCUGAUAGUGUGAGUUACUGAUGGAUUCCAGUUGCUUUAGGCAUGCAGAUGAAAUUCCAGGCUGGUGUGAAAGAAAUUGAUGAAGUAAUCAGAACUGUGCCUGUGGCUCCGGUUUCAUUUGUAAAAUGUAACAGAUGGUGUUUGUGUGGCUGACAACUGCCUCUUUCCAAGUGCAAGAUUUUUAUUACCCUGAACAUGUUUUAACUGGCAAGUUCAAACAGAUUCAGAAGCCCCGAACAGUUCAUGCCCCAGCCUCAGACCCGUGCUGCAGGCAAGCAGCUGUAACACUGGAAGGGGAUAGAGCCAGGAUCUGCCACCAUGCCCAAGGCUCCCCACGCUUCUAGUCUGGCACACCAGUUGUCAGGCAGCCUGUUAGUUUAAUCUGCAAUCUGCUGAGCACCUGUGCCCAGCAUGCAAGCACCCAGAGUGGGAGGCAGCCUACGCUGCAGCUGGUGUCAGUGUACUGUGUAUGUAGCGAUGGAAGCACCAGGCUGCAGCUUAGCAUUACAGGCUCUUCCCACCAUGUAACUCGAUUUGCUUUUUUAUGCCCUUGGCAUGUGACUCAAGUUGAUGAGUGAAAGAACGUGAAAGCAGCAACAAGUAAUUGGAGAGCUGAACUUGGAAUGCUUUGAGUAGGUGUUUGGAUGCUUCUCUUACAAAGCAAACUACUAUGAAACGCAGCCUGAACUUCUCACAGUAUUAUUCUGCUUGCAACACUUUUAUCUAAAAGGAUUUCCUGUGUCUGGGAUGUGGGAAUCAUAUGAUGUCAAUACUUAAUUAUAUUCUGGGUUGUGUGUGGUGUUGUUUUUUUUUUUUUACGAGUUUUGCCAUGAUUAUGAAGAGUAAUUUGUAAUGAUCUCUGAACUAAGUAUGUAGAAGACAUACAGCAGCAUUUGUCCGUGUCUGUAAGAAGCAUGACAAACACCUGGAAAGUAUGAGCUACAAUUUAAGUUGAUUAAUCAUGAUGAAGCUGGAAGGGGUCAGUAAGACUAUCUAACCUGAUCUCGCACAGAACUCAAACUACAAGACUUUUCUGAAUAAACUCCCAUUUGAGCCAUACCUAAAUACCUAC